CAGCAGUAGGGAUCUUCCGCAAUGGACGAAAGUCUGACGGAGCAACGCCGCGUGAGUGAUGAAGGUUUUCGGAUCGUAAAACUCUGUUAUUAGGGAAGAACAAAUGUGUAAGUAACUGUGCACAUCUUGACGGUACCUAAUCAGAAAGCCACGGCUAACUACGUGCCAGCAGCCGCGGUAAUACGUAGGUGGCAAGCGUUAUCCGGAAUUAUUGGGCGUAAAGCGCGCGUAGGCGGUUUCUUAAGUCUGAUGUGAAAGCCCACGGCUCAACCGUGGAGGGUCAUUGGAAACUGGGAAACUUGAGUACAGAAGAGGAAAGUGGAAUUCCAUGUGUAGCGGUGAAAUGCGCAGAGAUAUGGAGGAACACCAGUGGCGAAGGCGACUUUCUGGUCUGUAACUGACGCUGAUGUGCGAAAGCGUGGGGAUCAAACAGGAUUAGAUACCCUGGUAGUCCACGCCGUAAACGAUGAGUGCUAAGUGUUAGGGGGUUUCCGCCCCUUAGUGCUGCAGCUAACGCAUUAAGCACUCCGCCUGGGGAGUACGACCGCAAGGUUGAAACUCAAAGGAAUUGACGGGGCCAGCA
This 583-nucleotide ribosomal RNA is filed under the name Staphylococcus sp. RNAcentral describes it as "bacterial SSU rRNA". It matches the Rfam family "Bacterial small subunit ribosomal RNA", at positions 349 to 925 of the family's 1533-position model. The record is from RNAcentral. Lineage: Bacteria; Bacillati; Bacillota; Bacilli; Caryophanales; Staphylococcaceae.